Ornithorhynchus anatinus (platypus) is the source of this 199-nucleotide long non-coding RNA. RefSeq lists it as uncharacterized. The transcript has 3 exons. The record is from RefSeq and is a predicted model, not a curated record. NCBI's taxonomy places the organism in Eukaryota, Metazoa, Chordata, Mammalia, Monotremata, Ornithorhynchidae.
AAAAAAAAAAAAAAAAGACCAAGAAGAAUGCAAAACAGCCUCUGACAGAAGUUGCGAAGGAGGUUUACCAGUUCCUGCCCCUGUGCGGCUGGACGGACAGAUGGACAGACGGAUGGAGCCGGUGCCCCUGGGGAACACCAUUACUGGCAGAAACUUCAACCCCAUCUAUCAAAUCUUGGACCAGAGCUGCUUAUAAGAG